AGUGAACGCUGGCGGUAGGCCUAACACAUGCAAGUCGAGCGGCAGCACAGUAAGAGCUUGCUCUUACGGGUGGCGAGUGGCGGACGGGUGAGGAAUACAUCGGAAUCUACUUUUUCGUGGGGGAUGACGUAGGGAAACUUACGCUAAUACCGCAUACGACCUACGGGUGAAAGCAGGGGAUCUUCGGACCUUGCGCGAUUGAAUGAGCCGAUGUCGGAUUAGCUAGUUGGCGGGGUAAAGGCCCACCAAGGCGACGAUCCGUAGCUGGUCUGAGAGGAUGAUCAGCCACACUGGAACUGAGACACGGUCCAGACUCCUACGGGAGGCAGCAGUGGGGAAUAUUGGACAAUGGGCGCAAGCCUGAUCCAGCCAUACCGCGUGGGUGAAGAAGGCCUUCGGGUUGUAAAGCCCUUUUGUUGGGAAAGAAAAGCAGCAGGUUAAUACCCCGCUGUUCUGACGGUACCCAAAGAAUAAGCACCGGCUAACUUCGUG
RNAcentral lists this ribosomal RNA (492 nucleotides) under uncultured bacterium. RNAcentral describes it as "partial 16S ribosomal RNA". It matches the Rfam family "Bacterial small subunit ribosomal RNA", at positions 29 to 507 of the family's 1533-position model. The record is from RNAcentral.